GGUCCCAAGGUUAUGGCUGUGCGCCAUUUAAAGUGGUACGCGAGCUGGGUUUAGAACGUCGUGAGACAGUUCGGUCCCUAUCUGGUGUGGGCGUUGGAUGAUUGAUGGGAGCUGCUCCUAGUACGAGAGGACCGGAGUGGACGUAUCUCUGGUGUUCCGGUUGUCACGCCAGUGGCACUGCCGGGUAGCUAUAUACGGACAGGAUAACCGCUGAAAGCAUCUAAGCGGGAAGCCUCCUUCAAGAUUAGAUUUCCCUGGACCUUUAAGGUCCCUGAAGUGCCCUCGAAGACUACGAGGUUGAUAGGCUGGGUGUGGAAGUUCAGUAAUGAAUGAAGCUAACCAGUACUAAUUGCAC
Molecule: ribosomal RNA, 355 nt
Filed under: Alexandrium margalefii
Lineage: Eukaryota; Dinophyceae; Gonyaulacales; Pyrocystaceae
Description: partial Bacterial large subunit ribosomal RNA
Rfam family: Bacterial large subunit ribosomal RNA
Source: RNAcentral